Molecule: ribosomal RNA, 253 nt
Filed under: uncultured bacterium
Lineage: Bacteria
Description: partial 16S ribosomal RNA
Rfam family: Bacterial small subunit ribosomal RNA
Source: RNAcentral
UACGAAGGGGGCUAGCGUUGCUCGGAAUGACUGGGCGUAAAGGGCGCGUAGGCGGAUUGUACAGUCAGGCGUGAAAUUCCCGGGCUCAACCUGGGGGCUGCGCUUGAGACGUGCGAUCUUGAGUGGGGAAGAGGGUCGUGGAAUUCCCAGUGUAGAGGUGAAAUUCGUAGAUAUUGGGAAGAACACCGGUGGCGAAGGCGGCGACCUGGUCCUUGACUGACGCUGAGGCGCGAAAGCGUGGGGAGCGAACAGG